CCUACGGGAGGCUGCAGUGGGGAAUAUUGCGCAAUGGGCGAAAGCCUGACGCAGCGACGCCGCGUGAGGGAUGAAGGUCUUCGGAUCGUAAACCUCUGUCAGCAGGGAAGAACGGUCACUGUGCUAAUCAGCAGUGACUUGACGGUACCUGCAAAGGAAGCACCGGCUAACUCCGGGCCAGCAGCCGCGGUAAUACGGAGGGUGCGAGUGUGAACCGGAAUUACUGGGCGUAAAGCGCUCGUAGGCGGUAUGUCAAGUCAAGUGUGAAAUCCCCGCGCUCAACGUGGGAACUGCCUUUGAAACUGGCAAACUGGAGUGUGUGAGAGGAUAGUGGAAUUCCAGGUGUAGGAGUGAAAUCCGUAGAUAUCUGGAGGAACAUCCGUGGCGAAGGCGACUAUCUGGCACAUAACUGACGCUGAUGAGCGAAAGCGUGGGUAGCAAACAGGAUUAGAUACCCCAGUAGUC
RNAcentral lists this ribosomal RNA (465 nucleotides) under uncultured bacterium. RNAcentral's name for it is "partial 16S ribosomal RNA". It matches the Rfam family "Bacterial small subunit ribosomal RNA", at positions 338 to 795 of the family's 1533-position model. The record is from RNAcentral.